RNAcentral lists this long non-coding RNA (2386 nucleotides) under Sorghum bicolor (sorghum). Its description in RNAcentral is "long non-coding RNA (SBIC_LNC006862)". The record is from RNAcentral. Lineage: Eukaryota; Viridiplantae; Streptophyta; Magnoliopsida; Poales; Poaceae.
AUGCUUUUGAGACACCUCCCAAGCGUCGCAAGACUAUAAUGGAUAUUGAUGAGGACGUUCGCAGACUAGACAGAAUUAUCAUAGACCUGCAGUCCUCGAUUAAUUCCCUCACUAGGCAGCUCUCUAACCACAACACCAUUAUACUAGGCCUUAGGCAGGAUCUUGCCAGUGCCAACAAGAAGAUUAAGGAAUUAGAGCGCCGCUAAGUUAUCUAGAUUAGACCUUGAGGCAAUGCAUCUUAGUCAUUUAUCUUUAAAUUCGGUUUAGGUUUACUAUUAUCAGUUUGCUAUCAGUCUUUUGUAAUAAAUGCCUCAAGAUCAAUAAAGAGUAUUAUUAUUAUUAUGUCUUGUGUGUCUCUACUUUAUUUUUGUGCAAGAAAGCAGAAAACAAGUAUGGGGGAGAUCCCUCGACAUGCCAAACACACUCCGACUACACCACUCCACGAUUCAGGUACACACUUUACACAUACAUAUAUUUUGGAUUAUGCAGAUUAUUGUUUCCGACAUGAUAAAAUAAAAAGAUUAAAAUAUUUCUAAUCAUGAUUAAUCUCAAUCUGUGAUAUUUCCUGAAAACUUACAAUUAUUGAAAAUUUUUUUAAAUCCCUGUGUCACUUAAGUCAAUAUGGAAUAUGUGAUGGUAGAGUAUGAGUUUCUUAUUCUUGAUAUCAUUGUUGCUUGGAGAAUUUAUUUCAAAAUAUUCAAAAUUAUAGCUACCAUCCUCAGGGUUUUAUGCCUGAUAAGACUGAAAAUAUUAAUUAUAAUUAUAAAAACUAUCUACUCUGUAUUGAAUUUGUUCAAAAUGAGUUAGACCCUUGUUGAGAGAUUUAUCAUGCUCCUAAGAUCAAGACAUUAUUCCAGAAAGAUUCACUCUUCCGAAGUAUUAUUGCAUUAGAGGCAUGGGCUAUGCAAAAAUAAAGAUAUUUCGAGGAAAUAAAAAGGAGCAAGUGCUCGACAACCUCGCAGAAAAAAAUGGACAAGUGUCUGGCAGUAGAAUUAGGGGUACCUCGGUAUCCACUUAAAAAAAAGAGAGAAAAGAGAAAAAAAAUGAUAGCCCAUGGUCUCUCUAAUAAGCAAUAUGCCAGCAAGAGUUGACAAAGAUUUCCAAAGUCUUUGAUCUAAGAGUAUGACAUUCCCCUCCUCGGAUCCCGUUUUGAUCAGGCAAUAAAUGCAAAGUAAGUAUGCUUGAGAAUUUUUUGCAAAAUAAAACAACUUCAGUGAGACAUAUAUCUAUACCUAUCUAUAAAGAGGGAAAAUUUCAGUCUGCCCACCAAAAUCUUUUGCCCAAUGUGUCCGUGUCGAGGUCACUCUCCCAUCAUGUCCGGAAUCCUACCUGCGCUGGCCCCACGUGAACCGGCACCUCAAGUUGAUGCAGCCACGGCGGGCACUCGGGGUCACGGGAUAGCACAAAGAGGCCGCGCAUGGGUCCCUCGUCAUCGGAGUCAGGGGGCACAGUGGGGGAGGAGCGCUUGCCGCGUCGGGUGGAGAGGGCGCAAAGGCAAGGGUUGUCGUGGAGGCGGAGGCGAGCACCGAGGCGAGAGAUGGCGCCGCAGAGCAUCGCAGGCUCGUAGGCGGGCGGCAGGCGGCGGCGUCAGGACUCAGGAGCGUGGCGGUCCGAGGUCUUGGGUCCACCAGUAGCCAAAUCACGUACGUCCUUUGAUCAGUUUUGGUCAUUUUUAUCUUUUUUUUAGGUUUGCUCUUUAUAGUUGCUUCGCGAAAGAAUAUAAUUCUCAGAUUUUGAGGAAUCAAACAAUUUAACUAAAUCUAUCCUCCCUGAUAAUCGUGUGCGUCCUUUGGAUCAGUUUUGGUCGUUUUUAUUUUUUUUAAGUCUGCUCUAUAUAGUUGCUUCGCGAAAGAAUAUAAUUCUCAAAUUUUGAAGAAUCAAACAAUUUAACUGAAUCUAUCCUCCUUAAUAUUUAAUUGUAUAAAUUUCAAUCUGUCCAUUUUUCUGUCCGGCUCCCACACCAGCUUAUGGUCUGCUUCCACACCGCGUCCUGGACCUUGAGUGUCCUGACGACAACCCCGUUCAGCGACAGCGACGCGGCGCGGCGGCUCCCCGCCACCAGCUUGUGGGGCGGCACCCAGUCCACGGAGUCCUCAUCGUCGUCGAGCUCUGGCCAGUCCCCGUCGCCUCCUGGUAUGAUCAUAUACUUCAUGUAUAUAUACUCCAUCGGGUCAUAUACGUCAUAAAUCUAGAGAUAUAUAAGUCCAGACGGUAGUUAGAGAAAGACGGACAAAAAAUAUAGAUGGACAAAAGAAGAGCCUAAAAUUUUGCCUCUUUAUUAUUAGGUAUAUAUAUAUAUAUACAAAAUUAUGUAAUAAUACAGAUAUAGAUAUAGAUUUGAUAGCUUUUUUUUCUCCCGUUGCAACGCACGGGCAUUUUUGCUAGU